This is a non-coding RNA of Pelobates cultripes (western spadefoot toad), 213 nucleotides long. The record is from the annotation of a GenBank genome assembly. NCBI's taxonomy places the organism in Eukaryota, Metazoa, Chordata, Amphibia, Anura, Pelobatidae.
CUUGUUAAGUGGUUGCAUUUAGUGCUGUGUUCAUGUGAUUUAAGAGCUCAGCAUAGGUAGCCUAUAUCCUGGGUGACCAAACUCUAGCCCAGCCCAUUACUCUGACGGUUUUUGAAUCCUUGCUUUUUAUUUUAUUCACUCUGAUAGUCAGAGAGCCGAGAACUGUUACAUAGUUCCAUAUCUGAAAUGAGACUUGUGUCCAUCAAGUUCAGC